GGCGAGCUUCACAAAUGGAGAGCGGACAAAGCCGAACCUGUGCGUCGUCGGCUGUGAGUGGAGCGGAGCGGUGGAUCAUGGAUCUGAACAAAGAUUCACCCUCUUCAGGAUCGGGAGUCUUCAAUCUAAAGAGAUUGUCUGGUACGAGUAAAGGGCGGCGGCGGCAGGUCGGUCUGAUCUUGAACAGUAUGAUUCGAAGGCGAAAGAUGAAAUAAAACACGGAUCUGGAAGUCGAAGACACGAACAGAGAUGCACGAACAAAUCGGUGCUUGCAAUGUGCGCACAAGUAGAUCUAAGUGAGGACGAAUGGAGAGCGGAUAUGGGUCGAGAGUGCGACGAACUGUGUGGAUGGAAGGAGCAGUGAUGGCGGAAGGAGCAGUGAUGGCAGAAGGAGUAGUGGCGGCGGCGGCAGAAUCAGAGACGAGGAUUUUGAUCUAGGAGGCAGAGCGAAUUACUUGGAGACAUGAUGUGUAUUGAUUACUGAUGGGUAUGGCUCUGCCUCCGUCGACGAAUCAACGGAGGCAGACGUGCAGGGAUGUGACGGCUAGAAUACAAGGAGACUUAAAAUCCUAUAGCUCUGAUACCAUGUUGAUUUUAUGGAAUCAAUCUAUAUUUCAUUAAUUACUUAAUAGAGAUACAAGCCUAUAUAUAACCAUAGAGAAAUACACUUAAGGAAAUAAUAUCAAAUAAUAUCUCCAGAAUAAUAUCUCCAGAAUAAUAUCUCCUAAGAAUAAUAUCUCUUAAGAAUAAUCUAAUUAUAUUAAUACAAGUCCAAUAUAAUCAGAAUUACAAAGAAGAGGUUAGAUUGUCCAAGAUCCAAAACAUUAUAAAAAACUCUUGUCAGAAUUAGUUGGUGCAACAAAAUUGAUAAAUACAUUAUUAUGAGUCUCAUUUUGAUUUAAUAUGAAAUGUUUAAACAACGUGCAGUUACAUAGAGCACAAGAUGUACAACAAGAAUUACUCUAGUUUAGAAUUAGUAGGCAUUGGAAGGAAAGAAAAGAGACAGCAAAUCCACAUACCAGAGUUAAGAAGAAUCUGGAAGACCUCUUGGUGGCCACCCUCAAGAGCAAUCUA
This 1074-nucleotide long non-coding RNA is filed under the name Cucumis sativus (cucumber). RNAcentral describes it as "long non-coding RNA (CSAT_LNC000293)". Lineage: Eukaryota; Viridiplantae; Streptophyta; Magnoliopsida; Cucurbitales; Cucurbitaceae. The record is from RNAcentral.